This is a long non-coding RNA of Colletes gigas, 1537 nucleotides long. RefSeq lists it as uncharacterized. Lineage: Eukaryota; Metazoa; Arthropoda; Insecta; Hymenoptera; Colletidae. The record is from RefSeq and is a predicted model, not a curated record. The transcript has 2 exons.
GUAAACAUCGACGGUGAAAAGAAACGAUAGAAUCGUAUAGUAUAAAAAAGCAUGACGAACAUUUAUGAAGUUGUUAAAAAGUUAUUAGGAUAUCGUGCAUUGAUUUGUCGUUAGAGGCGUUUUCAUACGGUCGAAAGAAAAUAAUUUGAUUUGCCGUAGACGAUCGAACCGUAAGGUUUCGUGCGUUCAAUUGCAGAGUACAGUUACGCUCCAAUUGUCAAUUUUAAUUCUUACGUCCAGCGAUAAAACUUAUCGCGUGUACAUCCAGUUUGCGUUCGACCAAUGCUGUCUCCUCUACGGUGCAAUUUCUAGAUUUUACUAUGAUACAUCGGGACCGUGUGUAUACGUUCGAUACAAAAGAUCUUCCCUUCGGUGAGGGCAGUUUGCGAAUGAUUAACGUUUUAAAAAUAAGCGAGGCGCACGAUGGACGCCCGUUAUCUGAUGACUCUCCCUCAUUAACCUGGCAAGGAAUUUUGAUUUCAGGUGCAGAUACACGACGGUGGCGACCGUAAAUGGUGUGCAUGCAAACUUCACUAACGUGACCAACGUAACUUUAGCGUAGCAUUAACGUCACCGCGACGAGGAGACGCUUAAAAAAACACUUCGAUCGCGAAAGAAGAGGAAGCGGAACGAAGAUGGGGACAUUUUUAAGUAAAAAAGGAACCAACCCUCGAACGAAACAUUGUGCAUGAAAGGCGUGACGGUAAUUGCAGAUUUCUUGGGAAAAGGGGGUUGUGUUUAGCAGAUAAAAUCAAUGAUAAACGACGCGUCGUUUCGCUGAAACGCGAGCCACGACGCUUUUUCGACCCUGAAUUCAUAAAUAUUCAUCCCUGAAACUCUGCUCUGCUCGUCCUGAAUUGAUUCGCGUCCAUGCGAAUAGUCAAGUAGUCAAGUAUUCAAAUACUUGAUCAGUGCUUAACGAAAUUGAACAUUGAAGUAUUCGAAUUGUUUAAUGUUCGAAUUACUCUCAGAGUAUUUGAAUAAAUUCAAGUAGUCCCAGCCUCGGUUUGAACGUUGUAAAACUCAGGACCAAUUUCAAGGAGCGGGUGCACGAAUAACGAACCGCUGUAUGGUACAUGUAAGAACAAUGUACGUAUAUUUCUUCACAAAACCAUAACAUUACAGCGCGUAAGAUCGUCAUGCGUAUCGGCGAUAAAAAACGGUACGGGUGGUCGGGUAUUGAAUUCAGAUUAGCUCGAGUCGUGCAGCAUCGGUAUCUUAAUUCAAUAAAGGUAAGCCGUACAAAUCGUACCCGUAAAUCGAAUCGACGUCCCGUAUUACGCGAACGGGUGUGGGUGGGGUAGUUGGGGGAGGGGGGGAGGGGGGGGGGGUACGCUCCCGUACAACAUUUAUCGUCGUGCGUUUAACGUUUAAUUAAUACCGGCGCCCGGCUCAGGGGUAACAACUUAACCUAAGUAACGAGUUCACUUGGCACAGUGAAUAAUUACGUUUCUCACCGUUGUCUAGUGCAAAUAAAAAAAAAAAAAACAUAGGAGUAGGGGGGGGGGGCAAUGGAUGUAUAUUCUGCGGGGAAUUU